Molecule: ribosomal RNA, 641 nt
Filed under: uncultured bacterium
Lineage: Bacteria
Description: bacterial SSU rRNA
Rfam family: Bacterial small subunit ribosomal RNA
Source: RNAcentral
AAGUUCGAACGAGGUCCAACUAGUCGCAAGACCGGUGAAGACCUAGUGGCGAACGGGUGCGUAACACGUGAGAAACCUGUCCCGGUCUCCGGAAUAACAAGUGGAAACACUUGCUAAUACUGGAUGACGUCGGAUCAUCGCAUGAUGAUCUGACGAAAGGGUUACCGGAUCGGGAGGGUCUCGCGGCCUAUCAGCUCGUUGGUGGGGUAACGGCCCACCAAGGCUUCGACGGGUAGCUGGUCUGAGAGGAUGAUCAGCCACACUGGGACUGAGACACGGCCCAGACUCCUACGGGAGGCAGCAGUGGGGAAUCUUGCACAAUGGGCGAAAGCCUGAUGCAGCAACGCCGCGUGCGGGAAGAAGGCCUUAGGGUUGUAAACCGCUUUCAGCAGGGAAGAAACUGACGGUACCUGCAGAAGAAGGUGCGGCCAACUACGUGCCAGCAGCCGCGGUGACACGUAGGCACCAAGCGUUGUCCGGAUUUAUUGGGCGUAAAGAGCUCGUAGGCGGUUCGGUAAGUCGGGUGUGAAAACUCUGGGCUCAACCCAGAGCCGCCACCCGAUACUGCUGUGACUCGAGUGCGGUAGGGGAGCGGGGAAUUCCUGGUGUAGCGGUGAAAUGCGCAGAUAUCAGGAGGAACA